RNAcentral lists this long non-coding RNA (481 nucleotides) under Gallus gallus (chicken). Lineage: Eukaryota; Metazoa; Chordata; Aves; Galliformes; Phasianidae. The record is from RNAcentral.
CUCGUCCUUAAUGGGGCGCCAGCUGUACAGGGGGGCGCAGGCCAGGAUGGACGCGUUGUGCGCCCUCACGGUGGCCCCGAACCACUGCAGGGAUUUGUACUCCAUGGGGUCGGGGUUCUCCGUGCCGUUGCCCCCAAAGUCAUUGGGGUGGCUGCGGGUCCCGAUGUGGUCGAAGUCAAUGGGGGUGCAGUCGGUGCUGGGGGGCCACGGGCAGUGAUAGACGGCCCCCCCUUGGGUGACGUUGGGUUGGCUCGUGUUGGCUUUGGGGGCCCCCACCAGAAUGCUGACACUGGGAGGUCGGGGCAGGUAAAAAUCCAAGGCGAAACCGAAAAGGGACCCGGGGGACCCCCGGAAGGCGAAGGGCCGCGACGUCUCCAGGUUGAAAGCGGCGACGGACGGCAGCAGCACCGGGAGCAGCACCGGGAGCAGCGCACGGGAACCCAACCGGCAGCUCCGGGGCCGUCGCGGCGGGGCCGGGGGG